GGGGAAUAUUGGACAAUGGGGGCAACCCUGAUCCAGCAAUGCCGCGUGUGUGAAGAAGGUCUUCGGAUUGUAAAGCACUUUCGACGGGGACGAUGAUGACGGUACCCGUAGAAGAAGCCCCGGCUAACUUCGUGCCAGCAGCCGCGGUAAUACGAAGGGGGCUAGCGUUGCUCGGAAUGACUGGGCGUAAAGGGCGUGUAGGCGGUUUACACAGUCAGAUGUGAAAUCCCCGGGCUUAACCUGGGAGCUGCAUUUGAUACGUGUAGACUAGAGUGUGAGAGAGGGUUGUGGAAUUCCCAGUGUAGAGGUGAAAUUCGUAGAUAUUGGGAAGAACACCGGUGGCGAAGGCGGCAACCUGGCUCAUGACUGACGCUGAGGCGCGAAAGCGUGGGGAGCAAACAGGAUUAGAUACCCUGGUAGUCCACGCUGUAAACGAUGUGUGCUAGAUGUUGGGUAACUUUGUUAUUCAGUGUCGCAGUUAACGCGU
This 487-nucleotide ribosomal RNA is filed under the name uncultured bacterium. RNAcentral's name for it is "partial 16S ribosomal RNA". It matches the Rfam family "Bacterial small subunit ribosomal RNA", at positions 356 to 860 of the family's 1533-position model. The record is from RNAcentral.